This 71-nucleotide transfer RNA is filed under the name Loxodonta africana (African savanna elephant). It matches the Rfam family "tRNA". Rfam says of the family: Transfer RNA (tRNA) molecules are approximately 80 nucleotides in length. Their secondary structure includes four short double-helical elements and three loops (D, anti-codon, and T loops). Further hydrogen bonds mediate the characteristic L-shaped molecular structure. tRNAs have two regions of fundamental functional importance: the anti-codon, which is responsible for specific mRNA codon recognition, and the 3' end, to which the tRNAs corresponding amino acid is attached (by aminoacyl-tRNA synthetases). tRNAs cope with the degeneracy of the genetic code in two manners: having more than one tRNA (with a specific anti-codon) for a particular amino acid; and 'wobble' base-pairing, i.e. permitting non-standard base-pairing at the 3rd anti-codon position. Lineage: Eukaryota; Metazoa; Chordata; Mammalia; Proboscidea; Elephantidae. The record is from Rfam by way of RNAcentral.
GCAGUGAUGGUUCAGUGGUAGAAUCCUCAGCUUCCACAGGGGAGACUGGGGUUCAAUUUCUCGUCAAUGCA